CACAUGCAAGUCGAACGGUAAAGGCCCUAGCUUUUGUGGGGUGCUCGAGUGGCGAACGGGUGAGUAACACGUGAGUAACCUGCCCUUGACUUUGGGAUAACUUCAGGAAACUGGGGCUAAUACCGGAUAGGAGCUCCUGCUGCAUGGUGGGGGUUGGAAAGUUUCGGCGGUUGGGGAUGGACUCGCGGCUUAUCAGCUUGUUGGUGGGAUAGUGGCUUACCAAGGCUUUGACGGGUAGCCGGCCUGAGAGGGUGACCGGCCACAUUGGGACUGAGAUACGGCCCAGACUCCUACGGGAGGCAGCAGUGGGGAAUAUUGCACAAUGGGCGGAAGCCUGAUGCAGCAACGCCGCGUGCGGGAUGACCGCCUUCGGGUUGUAGACCGCUUUCGCCUGUGACGAAGCGUGAGUGACGGUAAUGGGUAAAGAAGCACCGGCUAACUACGUGCCAGCAGCCGCGGUGAUACGUAGGGUGCGAGCGUUGUCCGGAUUUAUUGGGCGUAAAGGGCUCGUAGGUGGUUGAUCGCGUCGGAAGUGUAAUCUUGGGGCUUAACCCUGAGCGUGCUUUCGAUACGGGUUGACUUGAGGAAGGUAGGGGAGAAUGGAAUUCCUGGUGGAGCGGUGGAAUGCGCAGAUAUCAGGAGGAACACCAGUGGCGAAGGCGGUUCUCUGGGCCUUUCCUGACGCUGAGGAGCGAAAGCGUGGGGAGCGAACAGGCUUAGAUACCCUGGUAGUCCACGCUGUAAACGGUGGGUACUAGGUGUGGGGUCCAUUCCACGGGUUCCGUGCCGUAGCU
This 794-nucleotide ribosomal RNA is filed under the name uncultured bacterium. Its description in RNAcentral is "bacterial SSU rRNA". It matches the Rfam family "Bacterial small subunit ribosomal RNA", at positions 52 to 853 of the family's 1533-position model. The record is from RNAcentral.